This 391-nucleotide ribosomal RNA is filed under the name uncultured prokaryote. Its description in RNAcentral is "partial 16S ribosomal RNA". The record is from RNAcentral.
CCCUAUGGGGUGCACCAAACUCGCCUCGCCGCCUUCCACGAUUUGGCCUCCGCCCACAUUGCGGUUGUUGGCUUCCAGGGUUUCGUAUACCUCAUCGAAGGUUAGCCCAUAUUUCACCAACGCAUCGGGAGAAAUGAUGACGUGAUAUUGCCGUUCCAAUCCACCCCAGGUGUUGAUUUCCGCAACUCCCGGCGUCUUGAGCAACUCUGGUUUGAUUACCCAAUUCUGGAGAAUGCGCAAUUCAUCCGGUUUGCGGUUCGGAUCGGUUGAUUGAACCGUAUAAUGAAAAAUUUCGCCCAGACCGGUCGAGAUGGGUCCCAGUUCCGGGCGUUCGAUGCCAUCGGGUAAAUCGACGCCGGCGAUGCGCUCCAUGAUGAAUUGGCGGGAGGGC